ACUAUCUAGAUCUACUCUAGUUUAGAGAAGAGAGGAGAGCUCUCAUCUCUAAACCCUAGCUUUUGCUCUGUCUAUGAAUAAUGAAUAAUGAUCAAGGGGGUGCCUCCUCCAGGGGCCAGGGGGUCUGGUUUUAUAGUCCCCUCAAGUGAACCUGGGCCGUCGGAUCAAACCGACAUUGAUUGAACGGUUAUUCUUGAUCCUUUAGGUCGGUGGAGCAUAAUCCGCGAGAUUGAGCGUGAUUGGCCGAAAAAGGUGGGCGGGCGCCCUAAGGACUUGGGCGGGCGCCCUGUCCCUGACUCCGUUCGGUCUCCGCUUCCUUCCCGUGGCUUCUGGAGUCUUCUAGAUGUAAGAUAAUUGCGCGGCACGUUGAUAUCUCUAUGUAAUCCCGACGUGUGGGCCUUUCUUCCGUAUUUCCUGAUAACCCCCUGCAGAAAUAGACAAACACCAAAACUCGUGGAAUUCUGUCACAUAAAACCCUAAGUCUAGAUGUUGAUUUCAUUUGGAUCCUUUUCUUUGUUUAUUUGAUAAUUAAAUUUGAUACUUAAGGACCGCAACAAACUCCCUCAAGCUUACCUCUUGCUCGUCCCUGAGCAAGGAUAGACUCAGCAAUGGAUCAGAAGUUGUUGCAAUAUCUUAAAAAUUUGACGGUACACAUGCUUUUUAAAUAAGUUCUCAUCUCUGAGUUAGAGUAAACUGUCAAGAACUAAAACUUACUUACUUUACCUUUCACCAUGGGACUUGUAACCGUCACUUCUGUCUUGAGUAGUUAAAAGAUAGAACAAUCUAGCCAAGUGCCAUGCCUCUUAUUCUUGAUCAGCUAUCGCUCUGGAGUUUUUGCAGAUUUUCAAAUAAAACUCAGAGAUUCCUUUGUAUGACUCUCUCAUAUCUCUCUUUUGUGGUAUUUCUGGAUCCUUACCAAGGCAGUGAUGGUAUAUGCCUUCUCUCAAAAUAUGUGGUAUUUGUGGUAUAAGGCAUAGUGACAUUGCCUUCUCUCUCACCCUACUCUAAUAAGGCUUUAAUAUCUGGAGCUCAUAGGUGAGAUAAAGUAUACAUACUUACAAGACAUUUAUUGUAUAGUCAAACCAUGGAUCCAAAGAAAAAAAUCAAUAAGCCAAAUCAAGAUGUGCAUGUGUGGCGAAUGAAUGGUGUAUAGUGAUGAUGGUGAUAACAAUGGUGAAAGUCUAAUUCUACUUUUGCUCUUAUGAGGGGAUACAUACCUUCCUUGCUUUUUGAAACUUUAUGAGGAGAAUGAGAUGCUCUUCUUUUUCUUUCCUCUCAGGUGGGUAUCUUGUACCCCUAAUUCUACUGUCGGACACUUGUCCAUUUUUACCUCUCGUCUCACUUUUUCUUUCUUUCGAGGUUCCGGGCACUUGCCCCUUUUUAUUUUCUCGUUUAUUAUUAUUUUUUUUCUUUUCUUCUCUUUUCUCUUUUUUUUCAGAGCACUCAUCUCCUGAAAUAAUGUAGCAAGUGGUAGUAACCAAAAUAACUGGAGCAUUUAUUUCACAGGGAAUAACAGGGAUAGAAAAAUAUUUUUGGCUAUUCUCUCCCGGAUUAGGAGUAGAAUGAUUUUGGGUGAAACUGGAGAUGGAAAUGGAUGGAUAUAUGUGGAUGGUACUUCCGGAGUAGAAGUAGCAUCUAUGAGUGAACGUGCAAGUGAAUCUUAAUUUAACCACAUGACAAGCUCCUAAGGGUCUACACAGCUUGACCACACUCAAUGCUCAUAAGCAGUAAAUAAAUGUGUGGCUCAAAGUCUAGCAAGCAUGUAUAUAUGGCUGUGAUAGGAAUUUAAACUUUCAUCAUACAGGAACUCAUCAUGCAAUAUUUUAAAGAUUUUUCAAAGAUAAAAUUCUCCAGAAUUCUAGCAUCUCUAGGAAUAGAUAAACAGCAGCUCAACCUUCCCAUAUCAUAUCCGUUAACAACUUAGAUUUCAGAUCAAGUUUUCAUCCCACAAGUUUAGAUCUAGAGCAAGCUUUAUAUUAUAACAGUUAUGUCUAAACUUGAGAGAGAACUUCAAAUUAGGCAGAGCAACUAUUCAUCAUAUCCAUGCUAGAGUUUUAUUAUUAAGAAUCAUAGCAAACUUUAUUUAUUUAUUUAUUUAGCAAACUAAGAAAAGAUAUAUAUAUAUAUAUAAGCAUAAAAUCUUUAUUUGGUUUUUCAUAGUUUAUGUAUUUUAAUAUUCUAAUAUAAUAUAAGUAUACAGAUAGGUAGAAAUACUUAGCGAGAUAAAUAGGGGUGCUCUCUCCCAAGCUGAAUUUUGACGUAAUUUCUCUUGAUGUAGCUAGCAGGUGGCAGAGGUGUAUUUGAAAGUCAGCAGCAUUCUGACAGCGAUUAGAAUGUCCUCCAUCUGCUAGUCUUCUUGAUUCUUAAAUUCUGUGGAGCUCAAAUAGACAACAAAGCUUGUGGAACUAAUUAAGUGUUAGCAUAAAUAUCUAGCCUUCAUCACGUUGAGCUUCCUCAAUAAAUAUUACUCCCUAUUUUUAUAUUUUUAUUUUAUAAAGUAAAAAAGAAAUAUUUAUUUUAUUUUUAUGCCACCACAGUGAAGGUACUUAUGGGUUUUAUGCCACUCGUAUACUCACAUGGGGCUUAGUAUUUUUUUUAACAUUUUUAUUUUCUUUUCAAAAUAGCAUGAUUAACUAAUAAUCUAUUUAUGGCAAGUAAAUAAUUAAAGGGAAAAGAGAAUGCAGAAAGGAUAAAUAUGGAUAACUACCAAUCUUACCUUUCGGCGAGGGUUCAAUGUUUUAAGUCUUCUUGACAAGACUUCUCACCGUGUUCAUUCUUCAGGUGCGUCAUUUGAUUCAGGUGCGGACCUUGACGUCUGCACCUUUUAAUACGGUGUCACCCAUGUUCUUCGUUUGCCCAGCAGUUCGAAGUGCGGUGUUAGCAGUAUCUUGCUCAGUGUGUUUGUGCUCGUAGUGUACCUGCUCAUAGAGACAAGGCAGAGAUCAAGUGCAUGGGCCCUGUUGGUGGAAAACACCAACAGAACCAAAAGUGUAUUUGUUCUUCUCUAACCUUAAGCAUAGUGAGCAAGACAAAGUGGAUGGAUGAUAAGUUCAUGAGUGUAGCACUUAUAACAUUUGUCAGAUCAGAUCGCUCAACCUUAUGGAAAGAUAAUCUAUUUAUGUAUAUGUCUUUUUCUUUAUAUCUCUCAAUGAUUGAAUGUGUAACAUUUUAGCUCAUAUGAUUAGGAGUGGUGGGAUCAUGGAGGUAGUACUAAGAACAAGGAUUAAAGGACUAAAUAUGUUGAAUCAGUUGGGUUGGUUAAUCUAGAGUUGUAAAUUAUACACGUUUGUCUCUUUUAUUUAUAUGAACGCCAGAACCAAGGAGAAGCUUAUAAAAGUGAUAGUCAAGUAUCUUAAGAUGUUACCUUGCUUGAAGAGUGAUGGUACAGUAUCAUCUUGUGGAAGAUUUCCUUUCUUAGCGGUUGUGCAUCGUGUUUGUGGCACCCUCCAUGGAUCAUCUCUCUAUGAUGAAUGAGCUAUGUCCUUCUUGUGCAAAUUGUUAAACUUCAUGUGUCACUCUCUUCGUCUCUGAUGUGAGUUUAUCUCAGGACUUCCCAAAUCGAUAUUGAAAGUUUUUUUCUGCAGGGGUUAGUUCCACAAAAUAUACCAUUAUCUACUCAAGCAGUUUUUUUUAGUUCAAUCACCAAACUAGACUCCAUGUCUAAUCAGAUUAAGGAAGGCUAUUUAACCUAAGCACCAUGCUUAAUUUAAAUGCCAAUGGAAGUAUGGCGAGUACUUCCAAACCAACACUUGCUAGUAAAUAGACAAAGGUAGCAUGACAGCAUUUAUAGAGAUCUACUCAAGUGGAGAUGAAGUAGUGUGAUUAGUAUUUAACAAAUUGAGCAUGUCUCAAAGGUAGGGACAACCAGCAUAGCAACAUGGUAAAGGAUGUUUUUAUGUAAAGUACUCCCCAAAGCUUGAAUUUUGCAAAAUUCAAGUUUGGAUGAAUUUAAUUCAAUGUUGUAUGAUGAUUGGUUGGACAUACCUUGUGCUUGUCAUUCAUCCGAUCUUCUUGCUCCAAUCCUAGAAAGGUUAGUGACAAGAAUACCCGAAGGAAUAUUUUUUUACAAUUAUCCUUAUAUGCUCAAUACACAAGGUAAUGUUGCAAAUAAUUAAAAGCUCAUGUUACGAUAUGAUCAAUGCUUAUUUUAAGACACUAAGCUUGUCCUUGGGAAACCAUUAGUUUAUGUUGGCGAAGUGGUUUCCCCUCCGAUGCCAACCUAUAUCUAGAUCAAUUCAACGAGAUCUGCAAUAUUUAUUAUAGACAUAUGCAUCGACAACCGCCCUUUUAAAGUUUUUAUAAAUAGAAAGGAAGAGGGGGUUGGAGAUCUCAAGUGUGGUGAUGUCGGAGAGACAAAUAGAUUGGGAAGAUGUUGCAUAUGAGCAUGGAGUAAACAAAGUGGCUAUGAAAUAAAUUCCAUGCUCAUUAAUGUUAUCUUCGUCUCCAAUCUGAAUGUUCAGAGUUUCUCUUGGAUUGGUCUCACUUAUGUCCUCUUCUAUAGUUGGAUGAAUCUCAUCUUCAAAGGGAGUCAAGAACACACCAUUUGAAAUUGAGCCAUAGUCAGAAUCCAUUAAGGCUUCUUCCUUAUCCAUCCAUUCUACACAUUCUAGCCAUUUAGAACUUGUGAUCAGGAAAGGGGAGGUGUUAGAAUUUUCAAUAUGGCUUAGCUCUCCUUCACUUGAUAUGUCAUCCUCGACUUCUUCAUAACAGGAAUGAGGACAUUCUCUAAGAGAAACAUUAUUGCAAUGAUUUGAAUUAUCCCUGCUUGAAGGUCUCUUAUAGAACCAGAAGUCUAAACCAUCAGCAUCUAAAAGAUUUAAGGUCGGAAUUCCUUCCUCCCUUGGAGAAUUUUGGGGUAUUGAUGGUUUAGGAUCGAUAGCUAAAGUUUGGGAUUGAAGUGGUUGUAAUCUGGCUAUCGAAACUUCUUCUUCUUGUCUAGGAACUGGUUCUUUCUGUUUCUCAGGGAUAUAAAAGCUAGGAGACUUUCCGCUCAUUAAAUCAAUCAAAUUCCAAGCUUCACUAGCGGAUAGGUGGUGGAAAUAUCCUCCAGAGGCCGCAUGAAGGGUUUGCCUAUUUUUCCAACUAAGGCCCUCAAAAAAGUGAAUUAGAAGAACUUCUUCUGAAAUAGAAAGUUUUGGGCCAGUGAGAGUAAGGUUAAUAAGCGGUCCCAUGAUUUGCCAAGAGAUUCUUCUUCCAGUUGUCUAAAAGAAAGAAUCUCACGCCGAAGUUCCACCACUUUGGAGAUUGGAAAAUAUUUAGAAAGAAAACUACUAUAUAACUCCUUCCAAUCUCCAUGAACACUCCCUACUUUGAGUUUAUACCAAUGUCUAGCUUUUCCCGUUAAAGAGAACGGAAAGAGCUUCCAUUUAAGGGUCUCAUCGGACAUGCCUUCUAUGCGAAGGAGGUCACAGAUUCGAUAAAACUCUCUUAGGUGUGUGUAUGGGUUUUCCACACCUUCUCCUGAGAAAGGUUGUUUUUGAAUAAAUUCUAUGUAUUCGGGGUCUAUCUCAAAACUAGAUGCUAUGAUAGGCUUUGAAGAUUUUGGUGGUUCGAGAUGUGUGCCCAUAGGUCUAUAAAAUUCAUAGAUAGACAUGUUUGAAUUCAUAAUAGACCAGAGAUCAAGGAUUAAAUAAGAAGAAAGAAUAGCAGAGAUGAGGCAAAGGAUAAAAGGAAAAUAUUUUUUUUGUUAUAUUUUUUUUAUAAAAUGAUUAAACUAGUUCGUAGUCAACUCAGCAACCGUUUCCUCGGCAACGGCGCCAAAAAUGCUUGUUGACACUUGCUAACACCACUUGAAUACUAGGUUGUCAUCCCCAGCAUGGCACUAGAGUGUACUAUGGUAUUUAUACGCACACAGAUAAUCCGCAAGCGCACGGAUACCGUUGAAGCUUUUACCCGGUUAAAGGUUUUAUCUUAUCCACAAGGAAACGGGAGAACCAACUACGCUCUAACUUAACCAAGAUAGAUAGAUAGGUGUAAAUAGCAAAGAUGAUAGAAUCGAAUAAGAACAAUAUUAAAGGUUAGAUAACAGUGAGUGAUAAUAUGGGAAUAGAGAAUAGAGCAAUUCUAGUAUAUGGGCGAUGGUAGCAGAAUAGAGAGGAUAACUAUGGUUUCUCUACUUCAAAGGGGUAUGUCUAUGUCUGGGACGAACCACGUGAUAAGAGUACACCACAAAGGAUGCUUAUCCAUAGGCCGAUAAACCCUACCCGUCCUGCUAACGAGAGGUGGACUACAGGGGACCAACGUAACUGUCACCUACGCGGCCUACCACACGAUCCAGCUAGUCAGGGGAUAUCCACAAGUAAUCUAGGUCUAAGCACCACGCUUACACCUAUACUACAACUCUAACCUAUAGGGUCCUAUAGAUUAGAAGUACUCAAAAGAGUUGUGAACCAGAACAUACAUGAUUAGUAAUUGCAUAAUGAAUUAGAAGUAGAUUACCAGAGUCAUCCCAUGAGCAAGCUUGAUUAGAGCUUGAUCAUGGCGAACUACAACCGGAGGAAGAACCGACAGGCCGGCCUCUCCUCUAAUCCUCCUUCGCUCUCCAUCUCGCUACUAUCUAGAUCUACUCUAGUUUAGAGAAGAGAGGAGAGCUCUCAUCUCUAAACCCUAGCUUUUGCUCUAUCUAUGAAUAAUGAAUAAUAAUCAAGGGGGUGCCUCCUCCAGGGGCUAGGGGUUCUGGUUUUAUAGUUCCCUCAAGUGAACCUAGGCCGUCGGAUCAAACCGACAUUGAUUGAACGGUUAUUCUUGAUCCUUUAGGUCGGUGGAGCAUAAUCCGCGAGAUUGAGCGUGAUUGGCCGAAAAAGGUGGGCGGGCGCCCUAAGGACUUGGGCGGGCGCCCUGUCCCUGACUCCGUUCGGUCUCUGCUUCCUUCCCGUGGCUUCUGG
Molecule: long non-coding RNA, 6884 nt
Filed under: Sorghum bicolor (sorghum)
Lineage: Eukaryota; Viridiplantae; Streptophyta; Magnoliopsida; Poales; Poaceae
Description: long non-coding RNA (SBIC_LNC000884)
Source: RNAcentral